AUACGAAGGGGGCUAGCGUUGCUCGGAAUUACUGGGCGUAAAGGGCGCGUAGGCGGAUAGUUUAGUCAGAGGUGAAAGCCCAGGGCUCAACCUUGGAAUUGCCUUUGAUACUGGCUAUCUUGAGUUCGGGAGAGGUGAGUGGAAUGCCGAGUGUAGAGGUGAAAUUCGUAGAUAUUCGGCGGAACACCAGUGGCGAAGGCGACUCACUGGCCUGAUACUGACGCUGAGGCGCGAAAGCGUGGGGAGCAAACAGGAUUAGAUACCCUGGUAGUCCACGCUGUAAACGAUGAGUGCUAGUUGUCGGCAUGCAUGCAUGUCGGUGACGCAGCUAACGCAUUAAGCACUCCGCCUGGGGAGUACGGUCGCAAGAUUAAA
RNAcentral lists this ribosomal RNA (375 nucleotides) under uncultured bacterium. RNAcentral describes it as "bacterial SSU rRNA". It matches the Rfam family "Bacterial small subunit ribosomal RNA", at positions 523 to 898 of the family's 1533-position model. The record is from RNAcentral.